RNAcentral lists this ribosomal RNA (393 nucleotides) under uncultured bacterium. Its description in RNAcentral is "bacterial SSU rRNA". It matches the Rfam family "Bacterial small subunit ribosomal RNA", at positions 28 to 417 of the family's 1533-position model. The record is from RNAcentral.
GACGAACGCUGGCGGCGUGCCUAACACAUGUAAGUCGCACGGGACCGGGGGCAACUCCGGUUCAGUGGCAGACGGGUGCGUAACACGUGAAGAACCUGUCCAACGGCGGGGGAUAGCCGGCCCAACGGCCGGGUAAUACCGCAUACGAUCGUUCGGGGGCAUCCCUGGGCGAUGAAAGCAGCCGCAAGGUUGCGCCGAUGGAGGGCUUCGCGGCCUAUCAGCUAGUUGGCGGGGUAACGCCCACCAAGGCAACGACGGGUAGCUGGUCUGAGAGGAUGGCCAGCCACAUUGGGACUGAGACACGGCCCAGACUCCUACGGGAGGCAGCAGUGGGGAAUCUUGCGCAAUGGCCGCAAGGCUGACGCAGCGACGCCGCGUGUGGGAUGACGGCCU